Molecule: ribosomal RNA, 253 nt
Filed under: uncultured bacterium
Lineage: Bacteria
Description: partial 16S ribosomal RNA
Rfam family: Archaeal small subunit ribosomal RNA
Source: RNAcentral
UACCAGCACCCCGAGUGGUCGGGACGUUUAUUGGGCCUAAAGCAUCCGUAGCCGGUUCUACAAGUCUUCCGUUAAAUCCAACUGCUUAACAGGUGGGCUGCGGAAGAUACUAUAGAGCUAGGAGGCGGGAGAGGCAAACGGUACUCGAUGGGUAGGGGUAAAAUCCGUUGAUCCAUUGAAGACCACCAGUGGCGAAGGCGGCUUGCCAGAACGCGCUCGACGGUGAGGGAUGAAAGCUGGGGGAGCAAACCGG